RNAcentral lists this ribosomal RNA (467 nucleotides) under uncultured bacterium. RNAcentral describes it as "partial 16S ribosomal RNA". It matches the Rfam family "Bacterial small subunit ribosomal RNA", at positions 29 to 507 of the family's 1533-position model. The record is from RNAcentral.
ACGCACGCUGGCGGCGUGCUUAACACCUGCACGUCGCACGGAAAGGCCCUGCUUUUGUGGGGUGCUCGAGUGGCGAACGGGUGAGUAACACGUGAGUAACCUGCCCUUGACUUUGGGAUAACUUCAGGAAACUGGGGCUAAUACCGGAUAGGAGCUCCUGCUGCAUGGUGGGGGUUGGAAAGUUUCGGCGGUUGGGGAUGGACUCGCGGCUUAUCAGCUUGUUGGUGGGGUAGUGGCUUACCAAGGCUUUGACGGGUAGCCGGCCUGAGAGGGUGACCGGCCACAUUGGGACUGAGAUACGGCCCAGACUCCUACGGGAGGCAGCAGUGGGGAAUAUUGCACAAUGGGCGGAAGCCUGUUGCAGCAACGCCGCGUGCGGGAUGACGGCCUUCGGGUUGUAAACCGCUUUCGCCUGUGACGAAGCGUGAGUGACGGUAAUGGGUAAAGAAGCACCGGCUAACUACGUG